GAAAAGAUGGCUGCAUUGUACCUUCAAGUGAGUAUUGUCAGCCAGGCUUUGAUUUUUGUAACUAGAUCGCGCGGCUGGUCGUAUGUUGAGCGACCUGGACUUCUAUUAGUGGGCGCUUUCUUGGUUGCACAACUGGUUGCAACUUUGAUCGCGGUAUAUGCAAACUGGGGAUUUGCAAAGAUCAAGGGAAUCGGAUGGGGAUGGGCCGGUGUCAUCUGGCUGUACAGCAUUGUUUUCUACAUUCCACUCGAUAUCAUGAAGUUUGCUAUUCGAUACAUAUUGAGCGGAAAGGCAUGGCUAAACUUGUUAGAAAACAAGACUGCUUUCACCACCAAGAAAGACUAUGGAAAAGAGG
Molecule: unclassified non-coding RNA, 355 nt
Filed under: Hevea brasiliensis (rubber tree)
Lineage: Eukaryota; Viridiplantae; Streptophyta; Magnoliopsida; Malpighiales; Euphorbiaceae
Source: RNAcentral